UUUCCGUAGGUGAACCUGCGGAAGGAUCAUUAGUGAAUAUUAGGGCGUCCACUUCGGUAGGGCCUGACUUCCACUUUCUAACUCUGUGCACUUAUUUGGCGGAAAAGGGAAUUAGUAAUCUGCCUAAUGACGAUUGCGACUUCUUACUUUCUGCGGCUUACUUUAAACACUAGUCAAAAUAUGUAACGAAAUAUCGAAACAAAUAAAAACUUUCAACAACGGAUCUCUUGGCUCUC
RNAcentral lists this unclassified non-coding RNA (236 nucleotides) under plant metagenome. RNAcentral's name for it is "partial contains small subunit ribosomal RNA, internal transcribed spacer 1, and 5.8S ribosomal RNA". The record is from RNAcentral.